Molecule: ribosomal RNA, 253 nt
Filed under: uncultured bacterium
Lineage: Bacteria
Description: partial 16S ribosomal RNA
Rfam family: Bacterial small subunit ribosomal RNA
Source: RNAcentral
UACAGAGGUCCCAAGCGUUGUUCGGAUUCAUUGGGCGUAAAGGGUGUGUAGGUGGCGCCGUAAGUCGGGUGUGAAAUUUCGGAGCUUAACUCCGAAACUGCAUUCGAUACUGCGGUGCUUGAGGACUGGAGAGGAGACUGGAAUUCAUGGUGUAGCAGUGAAAUGCGUAGAGAUCAUGAGGAAGACCAGUGGCGAAGGCGGGUCUCUGGGCCGUAACUGACGCUGAGGAGCGAAAGCAUGGGGAGCGAACAGG